CUUAAGUUCUGCUCUAAGGUACUUAAUCUGGUUUGGCCUCAUGCUCUCACUCUGUUUUUAGGAAUUUGUCUACCUCAGCCAUUAUGGAAAGAAUUCCAAGCAGGUGGCCACGUCCUGUGUGGCAUCCUCCAUGGAAGAACUACAGGGUCAUAAGUGGGCAUUUGGGAUGGGUGAGAUCUAUUGCAUUUGAUCCUAGCAAUCAAUGAUUCUGCACUGGCUCUGCAGAUCGGACAAUUAAGAUAUGGGAUCUAGCAAGCGGAAGGCUGAAGCUAACGCUGACAAGAC
Molecule: long non-coding RNA, 285 nt
Organism: Eucalyptus grandis
Lineage: Eukaryota; Viridiplantae; Streptophyta; Magnoliopsida; Myrtales; Myrtaceae
Exons: 3
Source: RefSeq, a predicted model, not a curated record